Long non-coding RNA from Rhipicephalus microplus (southern cattle tick), 420 nucleotides. The record is from RefSeq and is a predicted model, not a curated record. Lineage: Eukaryota; Metazoa; Arthropoda; Arachnida; Ixodida; Ixodidae.
AGAGAACGGUUUUGUCUCAACAAUGAGCGUCGAUGUUCCCGAAGAAGAACGUCGACAUAUCUUUCACUUCGGCGAAUAAAACUGAUGAACAGUAUAUAAUACGAAGUUCCUCCUCAUGGUAAUAAUAAUGACUGCCACGAGUAAAAAAAAAACAAAGAAACCAGUCGCCAACAUUCCGGCUAAUACCUGCAGCAACGACAACGUUCCUACGAGGUACGAAGAGGCACUACCUGUACUGUGGCGGAGUGGUACGGCCGUCGGGCGGGGAACCCAUGCGAGAGCAUGUUCUCCGGGUCGGCAGUGCGUCAUGUCAAUGACACGUCGUAGAGUUGGUCGUAGCUCCCGAGAUGGUGUGCGCGAUUCUUGGAGGCUUUAACGCACAUUCGCGUGAUUUCGCGAUAAAUUGCGAAUUUCAUUGUU